Molecule: long non-coding RNA, 348 nt
Organism: Pogonomyrmex barbatus (red harvester ant)
Lineage: Eukaryota; Metazoa; Arthropoda; Insecta; Hymenoptera; Formicidae
Source: RefSeq, a predicted model, not a curated record
UACAUUAGAUUAUAUGGCAACGCAACGCGUGAUAUUAGUAAAACAUGAUUCGAUGUGAUUAGCGAUACAAUCCAAGAACAGAUUCAAAGGAACAAUUGCGAUUUUCUGCUCUGGUGUCUGUGCUGUCUUCUCUGUUCAGAGAACAGACUUGAAGGAACGAUUACGAUUUUCUCUCUCGUGCUUUCGCUGUCUUCUCUGUCUUCUCUAUUCAGAGGAGGAUUUGACGGAGCGAUUGCGAUUUUUUACUCUCUGAUGCCUGCGCUAGCUUCUCUAUCUAUUUGAAAGUUCCAUAAUGUAAAAAUUUAUGUUUGUAAUGUUGACAUUUGAAAUGUUUCAUAUUUUAUAAUA